This 576-nucleotide ribosomal RNA is filed under the name uncultured bacterium. RNAcentral's name for it is "bacterial SSU rRNA". It matches the Rfam family "Bacterial small subunit ribosomal RNA", at positions 102 to 674 of the family's 1533-position model. The record is from RNAcentral.
ACGGGUGAGUAAUACAUCGGAACAUAUCCUGGAGUGGGGGAUAGCCCGGCGAAAGCCGGAUUAAUACCGCAUACGCUCUGAGGAGGAAAGCGGGGGACCUUCGGGCCUCGCGCUCAAGGGGCGGCCGAUGGCGGAUUAGGUAGUUGGUGGGGUAAAGGCCUACCAAGCCGACGAUCCGUAGCUGGUCUGAGAGGACGACCAGCCACACUGGGACUGAGACACGGCCCAGACUCCUACGGGAGGCAGCAGUGGGGAAUUUUGGACAAUGGGGGCAACCCUGAUCCAGCAAUGCCGCGUGUGUGAAGAAGGCCUUCGGGUUGUAAAGCACUUUUGUCCGGAAAGAAAUCAUCGGGGCCAAUACCCCUGGUGGAUGACGGUACCGGAAGAAUAAGCACCGGCUAACUACGUGCCAGCAGCCGCGGUAAUACGUAGGGUGCGAGCGUUAAUCGGAAUUACUGGGCGUAAAGCGUGCGCAGGCGGUGCUGUAAGACCGAUGUGAAAUCCCCGGGCUUAACCUGGGAACUGCAUUGGUGACUGCAGCGCUGGAGUAUGGCAGAGGGGGGUGGAAUUCCACGU